This 433-nucleotide ribosomal RNA is filed under the name uncultured bacterium. Its description in RNAcentral is "partial 16S ribosomal RNA". It matches the Rfam family "Bacterial small subunit ribosomal RNA", at positions 29 to 507 of the family's 1533-position model. The record is from RNAcentral.
AACGAACGCUGGCGGCAGGCCUAACACAUGCAAGUCGAGCGGACCCUUCGGGGUUAGCGGCGGACGGGUGAGUAACGCGUGGGAACGUGCCCUUUGCUUCGGAAUAGCCCUGGGAAACUGGGAGUAAUACCGGAUACGCCCUUUUGGGGAAAGAUUUAUCGGCGAAGGAUCGGCCCGCGUUGGAUUAGGUAGUUGGUGGGGUAAUGGCCUACCAAGCCGACGAUCCAUAGCUGGUUUGAGAGGAUGAUCAGCCACACUGGGACUGAGACACGGCCCAGACUCCUACGGGAGGCAACAGUGGGGAAUCUUAGACAAUGGGGGAAACCCUGAUCUAGCCAUGCCGCGUGAGCGAUGAAGGCCUUAGGGUUGUAAAGCUCUUUCACCGGGGAAGAUAAUGACGGUACCCGGAGAAGAAGCCCCGGCUAACUCCGUG